Molecule: ribosomal RNA, 462 nt
Filed under: uncultured bacterium
Lineage: Bacteria
Description: partial 16S ribosomal RNA
Rfam family: Bacterial small subunit ribosomal RNA
Source: RNAcentral
GACGAACGCUGGCGGCGUGCUUAACACAUGCAAGUCGAACGGAAAGGCCCUUCGGGGUACUCGAGUGGCGAACGGGUGAGUAACACGUGGGUGAUCUGCCCUGCACUUUGGGAUAAGCCUGGGAAACUGGGUCUAAUACCGAAUAGGACCACGCGCUUCAUGGUGUGUGGUGGAAAGCUUUUGCGGUGUGGGAUGGGCCCGCGGCCUAUCAGCUUGUUGGUGGGGUAAUGGCCUACCAAGGCGACGACGGGUAGCCGGCCUGAGAGGGUGACCGGCCACAGUGGGACUGGUAUGGGCCACAGCCCCCAGGGGGGGGAGGGGGGGGGAAAUAGUGCACAGUGGGCGCAGGCGUGAGGAGGGGGCGCGGGGGGGGGGAUGACGGCUUUGGGUUGGAAACCCUCUUCAAGUAGGGACGAAGCGAAAGGGACGUUACCUAAAAAAGAAGCCCCGGCAAGCUCCGUC